This 987-nucleotide small RNA is filed under the name Pongo abelii (Sumatran orangutan). Its description in RNAcentral is "processed transcript". The record is from RNAcentral. Lineage: Eukaryota; Metazoa; Chordata; Mammalia; Primates; Hominidae.
ACGAGGCAACAUCUUUCUCACGUCCUACCAGUACCCCUUCUACGACUGCCGCCAGGCCAUGAGCCUGGAGGAGAACCUGCCGUGAGUGUCUCGUGCCCGUCAACCCCGCCCCGCCCGCCCACCCCAGCCCUGCUCACGAUCCCCUCUGGACACAGGUGCAUCUCCUGCGUGAGCAACCGCUGGACCUGCCAGUGGGACCUGCGCUACCAUGAGUGCCGGGAGGCCUCGCCCAACCCUGAGGACGGCAUCGUCCGUGCCCACAUGGAGGACAGCUGUCCCCAGUUCCUGGGACCCAGCCCCCUGGUGAUCCCCAUGAACCACGAGACAGACGUGACCUUCCAGGGCAAGAACCUGGACACUGUGAAGGGUUUCUCCCUGCACGUGGGCAGUGACUUGCUCAAGUUCAUGGAGCCAGUGAGCAUGCAGGAAUCUGGGACCUUCGUCUUUCGGACCCCAAAGGAAGUGCAGUGUGCCCCUGCGUGUCCCCCAGCUGUCCCAUGAUGCCAACGAGACGCUGCCCCUGCACCUCUACGUCAAGUCUUACGGCAAGAAUAUCGACAGCAAGCUCCACGUGACCCUCUACAGCUGCUCCUUUGGCCGCAGCGACUGCAGCCUGUGCCGGGCCGCUAACCCCGACUACAGGUGUGCGUGGUGUGGGGGCCAGAGCAGGUGCGUGUAUGAGGCCCUGUGCAACACCACCUCCGAGUGCCCGCCGCCCGUCAUCACCAGGAUCCAGCCUGAGACGGGCCCCCUGGGUGGGGGCAUCCGCAUCACCAUCCUGGGGUCCAAUUUGGGCGUCCGAGCAGGGGACAUCCAGAGGAUCUCUGUGGCCGGCCGGAACUGCUCCUUUCAACCGGAACGUUACUCCGUGUCCACCCGGAUCGUGUGUGUGAUCGAGGCUGCGGAGGCGCCCUUCACUGGGGGUGUCGAGGUGGACGUCUUCGGGAAACUGGGCCGUUCGCCUCCCAACGUCCAGUUCACCUUCCA